UUCUUAUAAAAAUUAUUAUAAGUAAAAUCUGCUCAAUGAUUUAAAUAGCCGCAGAAAUUUAACUGUGCUAAGGUAGCAUAAUCAUUUGUUUUUUAAUUAAAAUCUAGAAUGAAAGAUUUAACAAUUUAAAUUCUUUUUUAUAUUUAAAUAAAUUAAAAUUUUAUUAAAAAUAAAAAUAUUUUUAUAAAACAAAAAGACGACAAGACCCUUUUAAACUUAACUUUAGUUAAACUGGGACAGUUACUUAAUAAUUAUUUUAAACUUAAUAAAUAAAUAAUAACCUAAUAUUAUUAAAUUAACAAGUUACUAAAGGGAUAACAGCGUAAUUUAUAUUUAAAGUUCUUAUUACAAUAUAAGAUUACGACCUCGAUGUUGAAUUAAAUACCUUUUUUUAGCAAAAUAAAUAAAAGAAAGUCUGUUCGACUUUUAAUAUUUUACA
RNAcentral lists this ribosomal RNA (439 nucleotides) under Trogloneta granulum. RNAcentral's name for it is "partial 16S ribosomal RNA". The record is from RNAcentral. Lineage: Eukaryota; Metazoa; Arthropoda; Arachnida; Araneae; Mysmenidae.